AAGUAAAAGCACACCUCUCCUCAUUAGGUUACAUAAUUUGAUGAAUGACCAUAUCAAAAUUGGGCAAAAUAAGUUAAAUAUUAUGAGUAUAUAGUCUUGGAAGAAUAAAUAUUUGUUAUUUAAUUUCCUGGCUUUUCUAGCAAAAUGCAUGAUAAAGGAAAGAUGGGACUUGCUGAGUCAUGAAACCACAGUAAGAUAAUAUCUGAUUGAUAUUUGCACAUCUCUUUACCCAUCAUGCUUUCAGCAGAGGGAAUACAGCAAGACAGAAAAUGAUUAAAUAAUUUACAUUUUGUGACAUUAAAGACACUGCUCACAAUAAAAUUGAAAUUCUCCUAUGAUUCAUCUGUCAGAUAUGCUGCUAUGUUUUCCCCAUCAAAUGCAAAAAGCACAUCUUAUCACGUUUAUUUCAGAAGGAGAGUUGAUUUUCAGUGAUCUUUCCAUCAAAGUUUUGAGAAAUGCAUUGCUGAAAAUAAUGAGGGACUUUUCAUUUGUUGGUGACUGUUUCUUUAAGAGCCACUUGUUUAGUGCCAUUAUAUUUGCAUACAUAUCAAAUUAUACAUCUUUUCCUUUUAGAUGGCAAAGGGUGGAGAAGUCUGGAGACCUGCAUGGCUGCACCUGCCCGAUGUCACCUGAGGAACUGGAAGGUGAUGCUGCUUGUGUUUGUAUGUCUUCUGGGUCUCGUUGAUGGACAUUUCCUCCAGGAGGAGAAAGAAGAACCCCGUCCUAGCAAGCUGAGAGCCUUUUCAACUUCUGCAGAACAUCCAGGACCACAGAAAGAUCUAGAUUUGACAAGUAGAUUAGGAAGCUACUGUAGUUUAAGAAGAGGAGAAAUGAAGAGAAGAAAAAUUGUUUUCAUAUAUAUAUAUAUAUACAAUACAGAUGGUUAAACAGGAAAAUAAGUGUUGAUGCUAUAAAAUUAAUCAGUUACGAAACAUAUUUAAUAUCAGCUGUAAUGCAGCUUUACAGAAGAUAAUAGUUUCAUUAUCCAGCUCAAGACAGUUCAAUGUUUUGUACUCAUCUG
Cyprinus carpio (common carp) is the source of this 1021-nucleotide long non-coding RNA. Lineage: Eukaryota; Metazoa; Chordata; Actinopteri; Cypriniformes; Cyprinidae. The record is from Ensembl.